GACGAACGCUGGCGGCGUGCCUAAUACAUGCCAGUUGAGCGAUGAAGAUUGGUGCUUGCACCAAUUUGAAGAGCAGCGAACGGGUGAGUAACGCGUGGGGAAUCUGCCUUUGAGCGGGGGACAACAUUUGGAAACGAAUGCUAAUACCGCAUAACAACUUUAAACAUAAGUUUUAAGUUUGAAAGAUGCAAUUGCAUCACUCAAAGAUGAUCCCGCGUUGUAUUAGCUAGUUGGUGAGGUAAAGGCUCACCAAGGCGAUGAUACAUAGCCGACCUGAGAGGGUGAUCGGCCACAUUGGGACUGAGACACGGCCCAAACUACUACGGGAGGCAGCAGUAGGGAAUCUUCGGCAAUGGACGAAAGUCUGACCGAGCAACGCCGCGUGAGUGAAGAAGGUUUUCGGAUCGUAAAACUCUGUUGGUAGAGAAGAACGUUGGUGAGAGUGGAAAGCUCAUCAAGUGACGGUAACUACCCAGAAAGGGACGGCUAACUACGUG
Molecule: ribosomal RNA, 497 nt
Filed under: uncultured bacterium
Lineage: Bacteria
Description: partial 16S ribosomal RNA
Rfam family: Bacterial small subunit ribosomal RNA
Source: RNAcentral